AAGGGAGACCUAAUUCAGGUAUGGGACGAAAAAAAAGUAGUCGCUACCAAGAAUCAAUCCCAAAAGGUCGGAGCGAGGUAUGAGGCUUUCAAACUAGGUUCUGGGUUCAAACAAGACCUGAAUCAGGAACAAGGGCUAUUAGCUCAGGUGGUUAGAGCGCACCCCUGAUAAGGGUGAGGUCCCUGGUUCGAGUCCAGGAUGGCCCACCUGCACAGGUGGCAAAAACAAGAGAAGCGAGGAAUCAGCACCUUAUCUUAUCUAUAUAUAUAUAGGAGAGAAUGCUGGCUCUGAGUAAAGAGUCCAGAGGAACCUUGAAAACUGCAUAGAGCUAGGUGAAAAAGCCAAAAAAGAAGACCGCAA
This 360-nucleotide transfer RNA is filed under the name uncultured Microcystis sp. Its description in RNAcentral is "partial 16S-23S ribosomal RNA intergenic spacer". The stretch from base 133 to 206 matches the Rfam family "tRNA". Lineage: Bacteria; Bacillati; Cyanobacteriota; Cyanophyceae; Chroococcales; Microcystaceae. The record is from RNAcentral.